GACGGAGGGGGCGAGCGUUGUUCGGAAUGACUGGGCGUAAAGGGCGCGUAGGCGGCCGCGUGAGUGCAUCGUGAAAGCCCUCGGCUCAACCGAGGAAGGGCGGUGCAGACUGCGGGGCUGGAGUGUCGGAGGGGGAUGCGGAAUUCCUAGUGGAGCGGUGAAAUGCGUAGAGAUUAGGAAGAACGUCAGUGGCGAAGGCGGCAUCCUGGACGGACACUGACGCUGAGGCGCGAAAGCGUGGGGAGCGAACGGG
Molecule: ribosomal RNA, 253 nt
Filed under: uncultured bacterium
Lineage: Bacteria
Description: partial 16S ribosomal RNA
Rfam family: Bacterial small subunit ribosomal RNA
Source: RNAcentral